CAGCAGCCACGGGAAUACGUAGGGUGCAAGCGUUAAUCGGAAUUACUGGGCGUAAAGCGUGCGCAGGCGGUCCGUUAAGACAGAUGUGAAAUCCCCGGGCUUAACCUGGGAACUGCAUUUGUGACUGGCGGGCUAGAGUAUGGCAGAGGGGGGUAGAAUUCCACGUGUAGCAGUGAAAUGCGUAGAGAUGUGGAGGAAUACCGAUGGCGAAGGCAGCCCCCUGGGCCAAUACUGACGCUCAUGCACGAAAGCGUGGGGAGCAAACAGGAUUAGAUACCCCUGUAGUCCCUGUCUCUUAUAC
Molecule: ribosomal RNA, 301 nt
Filed under: uncultured bacterium
Lineage: Bacteria
Description: partial 16S ribosomal RNA
Rfam family: Bacterial small subunit ribosomal RNA
Source: RNAcentral